RNA transcript from Symphalangus syndactylus (siamang), 1866 nucleotides. It is a transcript of the gene named lactamase beta 2, with no coding region annotated. Lineage: Eukaryota; Metazoa; Chordata; Mammalia; Primates; Hylobatidae. The record is from RefSeq and is a predicted model, not a curated record.
GCGUCACGUGGACGCUAUUCGCUGGCCCCGGCCUGUUGGCUUGUUCCGCGCUGGAGUAUCCAGAUAGGCGACAAGCCGGCGGGCGGCUGAGGCGGGAAUGGCUGCUGUACUGCAGCGCGUCGAGCGGCUGUCCAAUCGAGUCGUGCGUGUGUUGGGCUGUAACCCGGGUCCCAUGACCCUCCAGGGCACCAACACCUACCUAGUGGGGACCGGCCCCAGGAGAAUCCUCAUUGACACUGGAGAACCAGCAAUUCCAGAAUAUAUCAGCUGUUUAAAGCAGGCUCUAACUGAAUUUAACACAGCAAUCCAGGAAAUUGUAGUGACUCACUGGCACCAAGAUCAUUCUGGAGGCAUAGGAGAUAUUUGUAAAAGCAUCAGUAAUGACACUACCUAUUGCAUUAAAAAACUCCCACGGAAUCCUCAGAGAGAAGAAAUUAUAGGAAAUGGAGAGCAACAAUAUGUUUAUCUGAAAGAUGGAGAUAUGAUUAAGACUGAGGGAGCAACUCUAAGAGUUCUAUAUACACCUGGCCACACUGACGAUCAUAUGGCUCUACUCUUAGAAGAGGAAAAUGCUAUCUUUUCUGGAGAUUGCAUCCUAGGGGAAGGAACAACGGUAUUUGAAGACCUCUAUGACUAUAUGAACUCUUUAAAAGAGUUACUGAAAAUCAAAGCUGAUAUUAUAUAUCCAGGACAUGGCCCAGUAAUUCAUAAUGCUGAAGCUAAAAUUCAACAAUACAUUUCUCACAGAAAUAUUCGAGAGCAGCAAAUUCUUACAUUAUUUCGUGAGAACUUUGAGAAAUCAUUUACAGUAAUGGAGCUUGUAAAAAUUAUUUACAAGAAUACUCCUGAGAAUUUACAUGAAAUGGCUAAACGUAAUCUCUUACUUCAUUUGAAAAAACUAGAAAAAGAGGGAAAAAUAUUUAGCAACACGGAUCCUGACAAGAAAUGGAAAGCUCAUCUUUAGUUUCAGAUUAAAGAAAGCUUUGUUUUAUUUUGCUUUGAGAGAAUGACAAUCACUUUACCUUCCGUUCAGAACACCCGGAAGUUUUGGCUGACUCAUUUUCUGUUUAUUCAAGUUUCCAAAGCCUGCUUGUUGUCACCUCUGCCUUCUCUCUGCAUAUCUUCAGCCUCUGUUUGGCAACUGAGUAGCCCUCUUCGUGUCUCAGGUAAGAGACCUCACAGUCAACUGGGUUCUUCACAUGAUGAAGGUCAUGGACAUGGUUAUGGGAGCUCUGGGCUCAUGUUACUUGUUUUUUUUUUUUUGGAGACAGGAUCUUGCUGUAUCACCCAGGCUGGAGUGCAGUCCCACAAACACGGCUCACUGCAACCUCCACCUCCCAGGCUUGAGUGAUCCUCCUGCCUUAACUUCCCCAGUAGCUGGGACCACAGAUGCAGGCUACCAUGCCUGGCUAAUUUUUAUUUAUUUUUUUUUUGUAAAGAUAAAGUCUUGCCAUGUUGCCCAGGCUGGUCUUGAACUGAGCUCAAGCAAUCCUCCUGCUUCAGUCUCCCAAAGUGCUGGGAUUACAGUCAUGAGCCACCAUUCCUGGCCUCUAGGCUCAUAUUCUCACCACUGUAUAACCAGCAGAAAAAGCUGGUUUGUCUAGCUUCGAGAUGAAAAAUCCUAGGGGAAGAAUUCAGUGAUUUAUACUGGCUCAUUACCCAUUCCUUAGACCAGUCCCUGUGGUCAAGGAAACAUUAGGUACUGUAUUUAGCCCAGCUACCCCAGUGGCUGGAGUAAGCAAAGUCUGUUCCCAGAAGAAGACUGUCACAGCAAGAUUCUGGACGAAUAUAGUUACCUUACUAAAUAACUUUGCUUUCUUUCCAAUUUGUGUAAAAUAUAUAAUAAAUACAUCCAAUUUUUCUGCA